RNAcentral lists this ribosomal RNA (406 nucleotides) under uncultured bacterium. RNAcentral's name for it is "partial 16S ribosomal RNA". It matches the Rfam family "Bacterial small subunit ribosomal RNA", at positions 30 to 526 of the family's 1533-position model. The record is from RNAcentral.
AUUGAACGCUGGCGGCAGGCCUAACACAUGCACGUCGAACGAGUGGCGGACGGGUGAGUAAUGUCUGGGAAACUGCCUGAUGGAGGGGGAUCACUACUGGAAACGGUAGCUAAUACCGCAUACCAUCGGAUGUGCCGAGAUGGGAUUAGCUAGGAGGUGGGGUAACGGCGCACCUGGGCGAAGCUCCCUAGCUGGUCUUAGAGGAGGACCAGCCACACUGGAACUGAGACACGGUCCAGACUCCUACGGGAGGCAGCAGUGGGGAAUAUUGGACAAUGGGCGCAAGCCUGAUGCAGCCAUGCCGCGUGUAUGAAGAAGGCCUUCGGGUUGUAAAGUACUUUCAGCGGGGAGGCGUUACCCGCAGAAGAAGCACCGGCUAACUCCGUGCCAGCAGCCGCGGUAAUAC